UCGUGGGAAUUUCUUCGUCAAGUAGAGUGCGGCUAAUCGUGACGAAGCAAUGCUCGCAGUGUGAUGAAGAAUGGCCUAUCGGGCUUGUACAGACGUCCUUAUCGUGGAGGAUCGAAUAUGGUGGGUUCGUAAUACAAUCUGCUAUUGAGCGUGACAUGGAAGAAGAAAGCACCGGCUAACUCACGUGCCAGCUAGCCGCGGUAAUACGCGGCGGGUGCACGACGUCUGAUCGGAAUCACUGGGCGUACAGGGUGUAGUAGGCGAGUACAGUUAGGUCUGUCGUGAAAUCCCCGGGCUCAAUCGUGGGGAAUGGCAGGUAGAAACCGGCGCACUAGAGUAUGGGAGAGGGUGGUGGAAUCCAGGUGUAGCGGUGAAUGCGUAGAUAGUCUGGAGGAACAUCAGUGGCGAAGCGGCCGCUGGCCCAGUACUGACGCUGAGGCACGAGAGCGUGGGGAGCAAUCA
RNAcentral lists this ribosomal RNA (462 nucleotides) under uncultured bacterium. RNAcentral describes it as "bacterial SSU rRNA". It matches the Rfam family "Bacterial small subunit ribosomal RNA", at positions 352 to 774 of the family's 1533-position model. The record is from RNAcentral.